Molecule: long non-coding RNA, 510 nt
Organism: Herpailurus yagouaroundi (jaguarundi)
Lineage: Eukaryota; Metazoa; Chordata; Mammalia; Carnivora; Felidae
Exons: 3
Source: RefSeq, a predicted model, not a curated record
CUCCACAUUUAUCUCAAAAGGUUAGGUAAGAUUGGAUAUCGCCACUCACAUAACUACCAAAACAACAAAAUCAAACUAUGUCCACUUUGUGGUCUAAAGUUGUUUCUCGUUUAAAUUUGCAAGGGAUUGAAUAUUUUUUAAAAAAUGUCUGUCUGUUUGUUUGUUUGUUUCUUUAUAGAGUGAGUGGUGGGGGAGAGAGAGACAGAGAGAGAGAGAGAAUUAUCCCAAGCAGGCUCCAUACUCAGUUUGGAGCCCAACAUGGAGUUUGAUCUCAACUAUGAGAUUCUGACUUGAACCAAAAUGAAGAGCUGGACACUUAACCAAUUGAGCCACCCAGGUGACAUACGAAAAAAUCACUUCCUCUAGUGCCUUGCCAUCAGGAAUGUUACUAAGACAAUUCUAAUCUCAGCUGUCCUGUCAUGGUGCCUGUGUUACUCUAAUCCUCUCAGGAACUCCAUGACUCACGCUUUUCCGGUGUUGGCUUAUUAAACUGAAGUACUCUCAGGUGAA